RNAcentral lists this ribosomal RNA (654 nucleotides) under Trichoderma longibrachiatum. Its description in RNAcentral is "eukaryotic LSU rRNA". The stretch from base 267 to 420 matches the Rfam family "5.8S ribosomal RNA". Lineage: Eukaryota; Fungi; Ascomycota; Sordariomycetes; Hypocreales; Hypocreaceae. The record is from RNAcentral.
CGUAACAAGGUCUCCGUUGGUGAACCAGCGGAGGGAUCAUUACCGAGUUUACAACUCCCAAACCCCAAUGUGAACGUUACCAAUCUGUUGCCUCGGCGGGAUUCUCUUGCCCCGGGCGCGUCGCAGCCCCGGAUCCCAUGGCGCCCGCCGGAGGACCAACUCCAAACUCUUUUUUUCUCUCCGUCGCGGCUCCCGUCGCGGCUCUGUUUUAUUUUUGCUCUGAGCCUUUCUCGGCGACCCUAGCGGGCGUCUCGAAAAUGAAUCAAAACUUUCAACAACGGAUCUCUUGGUUCUGGCAUCGAUGAAGAACGCAGCGAAAUGCGAUAAGUAAUGUGAAUUGCAGAAUUCAGUGAAUCAUCGAAUCUUUGAACGCACAUUGCGCCCGCCAGUAUUCUGGCGGGCAUGCCUGUCCGAGCGUCAUUUCAACCCUCGAACCCCUCCGGGGGGUCGGCGUUGGGGAUCGGCCCCUCACCGGGCCGCCCCCGAAAUACAGUGGCGGUCUCGCCGCAGCCUCUCCUGCGCAGUAGUUUGCACACUCGCACCGGGAGCGCGGCGCGGCCACAGCCGUAAAACACCCCAAACUUCUGAAAUGUUGACCUCGGAUCAGGUAGGAAUACCCGCUGAACUUAAGCAUAUCAAUAAGCCGGAGGAAGC